This 216-nucleotide long non-coding RNA is filed under the name Gossypium raimondii (Peruvian cotton). RNAcentral's name for it is "long non-coding RNA (GRAI_LNC007650)". Lineage: Eukaryota; Viridiplantae; Streptophyta; Magnoliopsida; Malvales; Malvaceae. The record is from RNAcentral.
UUGUGGUUAGCUGGUUAGAUUCUUUUUAUUGAUAAAAUAUCUUGAUUAAAUUUUGCGAAUUGGAAAAUACCAUUCUGUAAAAACAAAUGAACUAAGUCCCAACGUGUGGUUUAUCCGCUGUCGGCGGUGGCACCAGAGUGAUUUCAGAACAAAGAGGUGGAGAUAUACUUUUUAUCAAUCCAUGGUCACACGUUCAUUCUUGAAUUUAGGUUUGAC